RNAcentral lists this transfer RNA (72 nucleotides) under Sphaerodactylus townsendi. Its description in RNAcentral is "tRNA-Gly". The record is from RNAcentral. Lineage: Eukaryota; Metazoa; Chordata; Lepidosauria; Squamata; Sphaerodactylidae.
CACAUUGGUGGUUAAGUGGUAGAAUUCUUGCCUGCCAUGUGAGAGGCCUGAGUUUGAUUCGCAUCCAAUUGA